GUAGGUGAACCUGCGGAAGGAUCAUUACCGAGUGAGGGUCUCCGGCCCAACCUCCCACCCCAUGUGUACCGACCCUGUUGCCUUGGCGGGCACCCCCUCCCCGGGCGGAGCCCGUCAGAGGACCCAACAAAUUCAGUAAACCGAGUCUGAGUGACACGAAAUGAACAAAACUUUCAACAACGGAUCUCUUGGUUCUG
This 197-nucleotide unclassified non-coding RNA is filed under the name rhizosphere metagenome. Its description in RNAcentral is "partial ribosomal RNA internal transcribed spacer region". The record is from RNAcentral.